GUCUUCUUAGGCCCGAUCUCCCACCCCUGUGUCUACUUUACCAUGUUGCUUCGGCGGGCCUGUUUCUGGAUCUGAUUCAGGACUGUCGGGGGGGGUCUCAACCCCCCUCCUGGCUCGUGCCCGUCGGUGGCCUAUAACAAUCAACUCUUGAUGAAAUGGUGCCGUCUGAGUCUUAAAUUAAAUGAAAAGCAAAACUUUCAACAACGGAUCUCCUGGUUCUGGCAUCGAUGAAGAACGCAGCGAAAUGCGAUAAGUAAUGCGAAUUGCAGAAUUUCCGUGAGUCAUCGAAUCUUUGAACGCACAUUGCGCCCUUUGGUAUUCCGAAGGGCAUGCCUGUUCGAGCGUCAUUAUCACCUCUCAAGCCUUAGGCUUGUUGUUGGACCCCCCCAUUCUUGGUCGGUCGUGAGACCUGACCGGUCCCAAAGACAAUGACGGCGUCCGUAGGGGACCCUCGGUACAAUGAGCUUUUUAACCAGCACGUACCACAGUAUAAAGGACCCCCGGGCCCGGUCUUCCCUUAUAUUUAUCUAAAGGUUGACCUCGGAUCAGGUAGGAAUACCCGCUGAACUUAAGCAUAUCAAUAAGCGGAGGAA
This 593-nucleotide ribosomal RNA is filed under the name uncultured Chaetothyriales. RNAcentral's name for it is "eukaryotic LSU rRNA". The stretch from base 193 to 347 matches the Rfam family "5.8S ribosomal RNA". The record is from RNAcentral. Lineage: Eukaryota; Fungi; Ascomycota; Eurotiomycetes; Chaetothyriales.